UGGGGUAUAGCUCAGUGGACAGCAUGUGUUCAGCAUGCACAAGGCCUUGGGUUCAAUCCCCAGUACCGGAA
Molecule: transfer RNA, 71 nt
Filed under: Cavia porcellus (domestic guinea pig)
Lineage: Eukaryota; Metazoa; Chordata; Mammalia; Rodentia; Caviidae
Rfam family: tRNA
About the family: Transfer RNA (tRNA) molecules are approximately 80 nucleotides in length. Their secondary structure includes four short double-helical elements and three loops (D, anti-codon, and T loops). Further hydrogen bonds mediate the characteristic L-shaped molecular structure. tRNAs have two regions of fundamental functional importance: the anti-codon, which is responsible for specific mRNA codon recognition, and the 3' end, to which the tRNAs corresponding amino acid is attached (by aminoacyl-tRNA synthetases). tRNAs cope with the degeneracy of the genetic code in two manners: having more than one tRNA (with a specific anti-codon) for a particular amino acid; and 'wobble' base-pairing, i.e. permitting non-standard base-pairing at the 3rd anti-codon position.
Source: Rfam by way of RNAcentral